UACGGAAGGCAGCAGUAGGGAAUAUUGGGCAAUGGCCGAGAGGCUGACCCAGCCAUGCCGCGUGCAGGAUGAAGGCUUUCUGAGUCGUAAACUGCUUUUGCCAGGGAAGAAAAGGGGAUGCGUCCUCUACUGACGGUACCUGGUGAAUAAGCACCGGCUAACUCCGUGCCAGCAGCCGCGGUAAUACGGAGGGUGCAAGCGUUGUCCGGAUUUAUUGGGUUUAAAGGGUGCGUAGGCGGCCGUUUAAGUCUGGGGUGAAAGCCCGUUGCUCAACAACGGAACUGCCCUGGAAACUGGAUGGCUUGAGUACAGACGAGGGUGGCGGAAUGGAUGCUGUAGCGGUGAAAUGCAUAGAUAGCAUCCAGAACCCCGAUUGCGAAGGCAGCUGCCUAGACUGUAACUGACGCUGAGGCACGAAAGCGUGGGGAGCGAACAGGAUUAGAUAACC
RNAcentral lists this ribosomal RNA (448 nucleotides) under uncultured bacterium. RNAcentral describes it as "bacterial SSU rRNA". It matches the Rfam family "Bacterial small subunit ribosomal RNA", at positions 340 to 787 of the family's 1533-position model. The record is from RNAcentral.